This 492-nucleotide ribosomal RNA is filed under the name uncultured bacterium. RNAcentral describes it as "partial 16S ribosomal RNA". It matches the Rfam family "Bacterial small subunit ribosomal RNA", at positions 29 to 507 of the family's 1533-position model. The record is from RNAcentral.
AGUGAACGCUGGCGGUAGGCCUAACACAUGCAAGUCGAACGGCAGCACAGUAAGAGCUUGCUCUUACGGGUGGCGAGUGGCGGACGGGUGAGGAAUACAUCGGAAUCUACUUUUUCGUGGGGGAUAACGUAGGGAAACUUACGCUAAUACCGCAUACGACCUACGGGUGAAAGCAGGGGAUCUUCGGACCUUGCGCGAUUAAAUGAGCCGAUGUCGGAUUAGCUAGUUGGCGGGGUAAAGGCCCACCAAGGCGACGAUCCGUAGCUGGUCUGAGAGGAUGAUCAGCCACACUGGAACUGAGACACGGUCCAGACUCCUACGGGAGGCAGCAGUGGGGAAUAUUGGACAAUGGGCGCAAGCCUGAUCCAGCCAUACCGCGUGGGUGAAGAAGGCCUUCGGGUUGUAAAGCCCUUUUGUUGGGAAAGAAAAGCAGCAGGUUAAUACCCCGCUGUUCUGACGGUACCCAAAGAAUAAGUACCGGCUAACUUCGUG